RNAcentral lists this long non-coding RNA (6143 nucleotides) under Xyrichtys novacula (pearly razorfish). The record is from RNAcentral. Lineage: Eukaryota; Metazoa; Chordata; Actinopteri; Labriformes; Labridae.
GGGGGUCAGUUCAGAACUGAAACUUGCAGAGGAAAGAGAGCAGAGGAGCGAGACAGAGAGAGGUAAAAGACAACUUUGAAAGACACUUAAACAUGUUAUUUUGUGAUUGUGGAAAGGCUGGAGUUAUUUAUUCUUACCUUUUUGAUUUUCUGCUAAAGUAACUGAAGAGUGUUGAAAAACAGGAUGUGCUGUAGUUUUCUCAGUUCAUGAAUUCAAAAGCUGUUUUUAGGGUCCAAAGCUGACGUUGUUGUAAAGAUUAUUAAGUUUUUAACAGCAUUAGAGACACACCGAGAACAGGGCUGUGACACUAAAAAUCUCUGGAUAGCUCAGACACCUUAACAUACGAUGAAAAAGCUAAACAUAAGAAACAAAAACAGAGUUCUGAGAAAUGUGGGAUACUAAAAGUGCGUAUUUAUGAUCAAAAAGAUUAAAAACCAAAAAAACCUGUCAGUUUAGGCAGAGGAGAAAUAAGCUGUGUUUGCAGAACCUUCCUGAAAUCUGGUUGCACACCGAAAGGAGAAAUAGAAAAGAGAGAAGAGACAUUUGAGCGCUGAAACUUGUAGAGAAAAGAGAGCGGAGGAAGGAGACAGAUGGAGGUAUGAAAGAGUUUGGAAAUUAAUUUUGGGAGAGUAAAUAGAAGUUUCCAGAGUGUUUUCCUUCAUCCUUACAGAGUUAUUAAAAUGCUUUUUGAUAGUCUUUAGUUUGCUGGUAAAGUAAGAGUGUAGACUGGAUUGGAGGGAGACUUAAAAUGAGGAAGACUGCAUAACGGCUGUAUUGGAAACUAUUAGUGAGGUCUGGAGAGGCUGAAACGGCCAAGAGCUGCUAUUGUUAUUAAAAUCAUUGUAGUUAAAUCAACGACUGAUCAAUGCUGAGCUGUACAAACUCUCCUGAGUGUGACGUGUGAACCGUGGAGCUGCUGAAAAUGAACAAUCUUGUAUUUUAGGACUGUCAUGUCAGCUUUGAGCUUCACUUUGUCACUUUCUUCAUGUUUACUGUGAAAAUCUUUUCUGCAGCGGGAGAGAGACCGACAGUCUCAACAACCAACUCAGGAUGUUUGUCCUCAUAUGGACAACUCUGCUUUUCUCUGUGAUGGACAGCAGAGCAGACACAGGUGUGUAACUUCAUAGUGAUCUUAAGGUGACAAAAUUUCAAAUCUAACAGACUCCUGACUCAUGAAUACGAAGCGUUAUGUUCAGGCAGACGUUACAGAGCAUGUGAGUGUCAGAGCGAGGACCUCCAUUACACUGUUCAGAAACAAACAGCCAACAACAACCCUAAGACUCUAUAAUUCACCCUAAUUUGUCUUCUGUUUUAUCCUUGUGGCACAAUGAGCCAAAAUCAGCAGCUGUUUUUCUCAGUUUGUUGUAAAAUAUCAGAUUUUUUUGGCCCCAAUAACACCCACUUUUGUGUCUCUGCUCACUAGAAAGAAGAUCCGCCUGUCAAAAUGAAUUCUGUAUCACUCUCAGUGACGGAGAAAUAGGAGCUGAAGCUGGACUGUGCGUUGUGAUACCGUGCUCUUUCAAUACAAGCUCAACCUUCAUUCCCCAGAAUAUUGUGUGGUUCAAAUGUGAACCAUCCAAACCAAGAUGUACUGAUCAAGAUGUGAUAUACAAAAAGAACGACAAAAAGGUUCAGUCUGGAUUUAAAGGCAGAGUAAAACAGUUGGAGCCCGGUACGAGUCAGAGGAAGUGCAGCAUCAUCAUCAAUGACCUGACUGUGUCAGACUCUGGAUCAUAUCAGCUCAGAGUUAACGGUUUCAGUCCUGGCAAGGAUAAAGAUGGAUUCCAGUAUUCCUUAAGAGCGAAUGUCUCUGUUAAAGGUACGAAGAGCUACACAAACACACUGAGGAGGUCUAUGAUGUCGUGUGCAAACAAACUCCAACAGAGUAUUUCAGCUGUAAAAACUCAUAUGAAGUAAAUUUUAGCAUUUGUUGCUCUCUGCUGGUAAUCUGUGAGAACUGCAGCCAUUCAUAUUAUUACUCUUAUUCUCCUUGAUUCUUAUUUUUUCAGUAUCUGAGUAAAUUUAAUCCCCAAAAUAAAGUGUUUUAAUAGUUUCCAUGCUGCUCACCUCAUGUACUCAUGGACCUCUCUCUCAUCAGCUCUGACCCAGAAGCCCACAGUGAUGAUUCCUCCUCUGACAGAGGGACAGCAGACCACACUGAGCUGCACUGCUCCUGGUCUCUGCUCUGGAUCUGCUCCUCAGAUCACCUGGAUGUGGAGACGAGGAGAAAACGACUCUGUCAUUAGAGGAAACUUCAGUACUGAGAGGCUGUCUGCUGCUGCACAAAGACACAGCUCAACUUUGACCUUUACUCCCUCAGCUGAGGACCAUGGUACUGAGGUCACCUGUAAGGUCAGCUUUAAAGGGGGGGCGACAACAGAGCAGACAGAGACUCUGAAUGUAACCUGUAAGUGUCACAAAGUCUACUAAAGGCCACAGUUAUAAAUAUUAUAUUUGUUUUAAAUGAUGAAGUGUAUAAUUUUGUCUUACAGAUGUAAAGGAAGUUCAACUCUUAUGGAACACGGAUGUGAAAGAGGGUGAGACUCUGAAUCUGAGGUGCAACGUUGAGAGUUUCCCUCCAUCUCUCAUCACAUGGACAAAACUUCCUGAUAACAACACACAAACCGGAACAGAAACUGAUCUGCAAAAUGACACUUUAACUGAUCAGGAGAAGAAAACUGAAAUCUUCCUGAAGGAGGGAAUCGGGGAGUCGACUUUUUCCAUCUCUAAUGUGACUGUAAAGGAUUCAGGACUGUACAUCUGCAGAGCAAAACACCUGAACAACACCCUGAUGAAGGAAGUGGAUGUCAAUGUGAUAUGUAAGUGCCAACAAAUGUUCAACCUCAGUGCCAUCUAGUGGUGAUAAUGGAAAAAAUCAGACAAACGCCUACAUGUGGAAACCUUCAUAUGAGUGCUAAUUAAUUAUAUUACACAUAAAUUAUAAAGGAACUGAUACCAGGGUUAAUUAGUUUCAUAUAAUUUUCUAUUAAGUCUGUUGUCCAGAUGCAUACACAUAUAAUUACUCAUAUAAUCUAACAGAUAACAAAAGAAUAUACUCAUGUUAUCCUCUUGAAGUAGAAAGUUCAGUUUCAUUCUUCUAACUUCAUUAUGACUUUUGUUCACAGACAUGAAAACACCUGUAAUCACUGGGAAUACGUCUGUCACUAAAGGGGACUCUCUGAAUCUGACCUGCAGCGUUGAAAGUUUUCCUCCAUCUCAUAUCACUUGGACUUUACUUGGUUCUGGUUCUGACCUGCAGAACGACACGGGAUCAGCCACACUGCUCAUCAGUGAUGUGCAGGCAGAAAACUCUGGAAGGUACAUCUGUACAGCAAAACACCUGAACACGACUGUGACUGUAUUCACUGACGUUUCUGUGACAUGUAAGUGGACUGGACUCAUCUUCCUAUAAGAAACUUCAUGUUCAGAUUUCCCAUGAAGGUUGUUUUGUAAUGUUGUGAUUCUUUUUGUGUGUUUACAGGGAUUCAAAGCAUCUUGAAAGACUCUGGUUGUCAGAUUAGGUCAGAGGUCUUGACUUGUGUGUGUGUCAGUGAAGGUUUUCCUUUACCCACCAUCGAAUGGCCGCUGUUGAAGAACCACGCUAAGUACUCUGCCAUUAAUACUGUGACAAACCACACGAUCAGCAGCACCAUCACAGUGACUGCUAAAGACCACAGCAACACCUCUGCAGAGUGUGUCAGCAGCAACAGAAAUCGAGAAGUCAAAGAAAAUCUCACCAUCCAAAUUAACAUGCCAGAAAUAGAAGGUACAUGUCCUCGACCAAACUACUUCUGCUACUGCAAACUAAAGACCUCUGUGACCUUUGUGUGAGGAAGUCUACUGUAUAAUGCAAGCUGUGCAAGUUCAUCUGCAUGUUCACUGACACUGAAAGUUUUGUGUUGUUCCUCUUAAAGCAGAUCAGUCCUGGGUAUCAAAAACAUUUUCAUGGGUGGAAGUCAUCACUGCCUUUUUUCUGGGCUUAAUUCUCUCAGCUGUCCUUUGGUGUUUGGCAACAAUAUGCCAGAGGUAUUCUAUUAACUCCAAAGAGUUCCUCAUGGUUUGACAUUUGGAUGAUUGUUAUACAUACAUUGAAAUGGUUUGCUUUGUUUUCUCCAGACAAAGACAGAGGAGUUCUGGAAAUAUGGGGAAGACUUUGGUGAUGGUGACCAGUCAGGAGGAUCCCCUGGUAAUUAGAAUUCAUUCUGUUGUAGUUCCCUGACUGUCGGCUUAAGACUGGAUGCAGAACCACCAAAAUCACACCACACCGAAAAAUCCACUUUUUAAAGCAAAAGUAAACACCCUGAUGGUCUGGCCUCCCAUGCCAGUCUGUGUACAAGGAGCAAUGUUUUUGUAUAUAUAUAUAUAUAUAUAUAUAUAUAUAUAUAUAUAUAUAUAUAUAUAUAUAUAUAUAUAUAUAUAUAUAUAUAUAUAUAUACACAUAUAUAUAAAUAUAAAUAUAAAUAUAUAAAUAUAUAUAUUUAUACAUACACACACACACACACACACACACACAUAUAUAUAUAUAUAUAUAUAUACACAUUUAUAUAUACACGUAUAUAUAUAAAAAAAAUAUAUAUAAAAUAUUUAUAUAAAUAUAUAUAUAUAUAUGUAUAUAUAAAUGUAUAUAUGUGUGUGUGUAUAGAUUUAUAUAUAUAUAUAUAUAUUUCUAUAUAAAUGUACAUAUAUAUUUAUUUAUACAUAGGACUAGCCACCAAACACCACUCUACUCCAGCAGCCGCUUGUUUGUGGGGGAGCCCUGACAAGUUGAUCACCGAGUGCAGUGGAGUUUAGCAGCUCAAGGAAGAAAAUUUAGGAUCAUUACUUCAUGGAAAUGCAGUCAGACCGAACACUAAGGCAGAAGAACUACUGCGCCUGCAGUGCACAUACAAAAUACACAAGAAGUUUGAUUGCAUUUCCAUUAAGAAAUCAUCAUAAAUUUUCUUCCUUGAGCUGCGAAACUCCGCCACACUCGGCGAUCGACUUCUCAGGGCUGAUAAACAAGUCUUGUCAUUCAUGUUUUACUUGACAGAUGGAUGCUAGCCAAGAAGAAGAAGAAAAUCACACCUACUACCAAGAGGAAAGAGGAGGAAAAGCUGUGUCAGGGGAGAAAACAGCCCUUAAAGUGAACGGUGAAGCAAAAGAUGUGGAGUACGCCAGCAUUGAUUUCGCUGUGCUGAAAAGGAGGGCAGCAAAGAAGAAGGAGAGCACAAAAACAGAGUACGCUGAAAUUAGGAAAGACAUGAUAGAGCGAAGAGAAAACCACAGUGGAGUUAAAGAUGAAACACUGGGGGAAGAAGAGGAGGAGACAACUGAUUUGGUCACAGAGGAGGAGGAAGGAGAGGGUGUGGCAGUGUACUCCAAUCUGAGGGAUGUAAUAAAUGGGACAUGAGGACAGUGUUCAGAUAUGAAGAACUGAAGUAGUUCACUGAUGAUGGAUUGUUUUACUGUGAGGGACUAAAUUACAAGUCUAUACGUUUAAAAUGAGGCACCAGCUCGGUCCUCUCAGCUCUGGGAGCUGAAGCUAAGUGUAAUUUUGGUCCACUCAAAGCUCUUCAGAGUGGACUGAAUGUCUGUUCCUGUGGAAAAAUUAAAUCCUCCCUUUAACCCUGUGAAGCUAACCUGUCACUUCUCAGUGGCUGUGAUGACUGUAAGACAAUAGUGCAGUGCUGAUAUGGUGAAGAGUGCUUUAAUAAUCGUAUGCAUGGGUUUAUGAUGAAAGGGUUAUAUUUAUAUGAUACAGAUUUUGAAGAGAAGGAUGUUAAACAUCAUAAUUAAAGACUCCUCACUGUCCCGAAUGAGGCCGAGGACUGUGGUGUUGUCUUCUUCAGGACUUUGACAGAUGGAUCCUCUGAGAUCAAGUCAUUUAUGUGGAGGGAGAAGAGCAGUGGGGAAAGAACGCACACCAUCAGCGUAGAUCUAGGUGCUACUAGAUGUGAUCCCCACACCCAUCCUCAGACGAAUUAAGUGUCUGAAUGAAUGAGCGAGUGUGAGAGUUUUCUUCCACAGCUAUAUCUGACCCUGACUUUCAAAGAGAAGAAACUGUUGAGCAGUUUGUUUUCAUCAAUUCUUGUCUUACUUCUGGCACACUGCAGGAAAAAGUAGCUGUAAAUAAAGUGUUCAGUAAACUGACUGGUUAAAAACAA